UGGGGAAUAUUGCACAAUGGGCGCAAGCCUGAUGCAGCCAUGCCGCGUGUGUGAAGAAGGCCUUCGGGUUGUAAAGCACUUUCAGCGGGGAGGAAGGCGAUAAGGUUAAUAACCUUGUCGAUUGACGUUACCCGCAGAAGAAGCACCGGCUAACUCCGUGCCAGCAGCCGCGGUAAUACGGAAGGUGCAAGCGUUAAUCGGAAUUACUGGGCGUAAAGCGCACGCAGGCGGUCUGUCAAGUCGGAUGUGAAAUCCCCGGGCUCAACCUGGGAACUGCAUUCGAAACUGGCAGGCUAGAGUCUUGUAGAGGGGGGUAGAAUUCCAGGUGUAGCGGUGAAAUGCGUAGAGAUCUGGAGGAAUACCGGUGGCGAAGGCGGCCCCCUGGACAGAGACUGACGCUCAGGUGCGAAAGCGUGGGGAGCAAACAGG
Molecule: ribosomal RNA, 429 nt
Filed under: Chloroflexota bacterium
Lineage: Bacteria; Bacillati; Chloroflexota
Description: Chloroflexi bacterium partial 16S ribosomal RNA
Rfam family: Bacterial small subunit ribosomal RNA
Source: RNAcentral